Molecule: ribosomal RNA, 497 nt
Filed under: uncultured bacterium
Lineage: Bacteria
Description: partial 16S ribosomal RNA
Rfam family: Bacterial small subunit ribosomal RNA
Source: RNAcentral
GAUGAACGCUGGCGGCGUGCCUAAUACAUGCAAGUCGAGCGAACAGACGAGGAGCUUGCUCCUCUGCCGUUAGCGGCGGACGGGUGAGUAACACGUGCAUAACCUACUUCUAUUACUGGGAUAACUACGGGAAACAGCAUCUAAUACCACCUAAUAUAUUGAACGGCUUGGUUCAAUAGUGCUUCACGCUUUUCCUGUCACUAUUAGCUGGAGCCGCGGCGGAUUAGCUAGUUGGUAAGGUAACGGCUUACCAAGGAAACGAUGCGUAGCUGACCUGAGAGGAUGAUCAGCCACACUGGAACUGAGACACGGUCCAGACUCCUACGGGAGGCAGCAGUGGGGAAUCUUGGACAAUGGGCGAAAGCCUGACCGAGCAACGCCGCGUGAGUGAAGAAGGUCUUCGGAUCGUAAAGCUCUGUUAUUAGGGAAGAACAAAUGUGGAAGUAACUAUGCACGUCUUGACGGUACCUAAACAGUAAGCAACGGCUAACUACGUG